UUAAUUGAAGAGUUUGAUCAUGGCUCAGAUUGAACGCUGGCGGCAGGCCUAACACAUGCAAGUCGAGCGGUAACAGAGAGUAGCUUGCUACUUUGCUGACGAGCGGCGGACGGGUGAGUAAUGCUUGGGAACAUGCCUUGAGGUGGGGGACAACAGUUGGAAACGACUGCUAAUACCGCAUAAUGUCUACGGACCAAAGGGGGCUUCGGCUCUCGCCUUUAGAUUGGCCCAAGUGGGAUUAGCUAGUUGGUGAGGUAAUGGCUCACCAAGGCGACGAUCCCUAGCUGGUUUGA
RNAcentral lists this ribosomal RNA (293 nucleotides) under Pseudoalteromonas sp. S3260. Its description in RNAcentral is "partial 16S ribosomal RNA". It matches the Rfam family "Bacterial small subunit ribosomal RNA", at positions 1 to 295 of the family's 1533-position model. Lineage: Bacteria; Pseudomonadati; Pseudomonadota; Gammaproteobacteria; Alteromonadales; Pseudoalteromonadaceae. The record is from RNAcentral.